This 1350-nucleotide unclassified non-coding RNA is filed under the name Hevea brasiliensis (rubber tree). The record is from RNAcentral. Lineage: Eukaryota; Viridiplantae; Streptophyta; Magnoliopsida; Malpighiales; Euphorbiaceae.
GAGAGAAAAUCAGCGGCAGCGAAUGGCGGACUUUGCUAUGAAUCUAAACACAGGCACACACACACACACAGAAUCUUAUAGAACCGUACUGAGAAGGGAAAAAUGGGGGCGAUUUAUCUGCACAGGGGGAAGCUCCACAGAGUCCCUGACAUACCUUGUCGAUGCGAAAAAAGAAGUAAACUUCUCUUUGUGUGGGAAAGAGGGAGUAUCUUCAAUGAUUUCUUGUAUUUAAGUUAUUCUUUGUAAUUAUUAACGUCCAUAGUAAAUGACUUUUCUCAAAUCAUGUAUUUGUGAUUAUGCAUCGUCGGACGUGCAAAGUUGAUGUUGUAAAUGAUAAGGAUAAAAGGAAAAAGGAAGUUGAGGAUAAGUUACUGGUUUUGAACUCGAAGAAGUAUAAUCUUGUACAAGUGCUGAAGCAGAUCUUGAAUGUGGAGGAGGAAUUAAAGAGACGAAAUAGCAUGCAAGGAAUUGGAAUUCGCCCAUCUGCCCCUUUUCAAGUGGAUGUUGCUAAUGAUUCUUUGUCAAUAAGUAGGCGUAAUACUCCUAGGAUGGGCUCAGAGGGAAAUCCUGGUGGUGAUAUGGAAAAGGGAGAAACUGAAGAUGUUUCAAAUCCUAGUAAUCAUUCCCAUCAAAUACAUCAAAUGAGCAGUACAUCUCCAUCAUCAGAAUCUCCACUAAGAAAGCCUCCUUACGUUCAGCACAAUGUGGUUCCAUACCCCUCUCGACCUAGUUUAGGGACCACCAGUAGUCCAUUGCGCUUUGCUUCAACAGGACAUCAAGCCCCUCCUGCAAAUUUACCAAUGGUAUCUGUAUCAGGAACAAAUUACAUUGCAUCUUCUCCUUCCCCUGCAGCAUCUGGUGGCACGUCAGCAUUUGGAGAUGCUCAGCAGCAAAGUCCAUGGAAUUAGAAGCUAUGAACUAACAUGAUUUGAUAUUUUGGCUCUGUUUCUGCAACUUUAGUCUUGUUGAUCAGGCAUACUGAGCUUACAUAGGUGUAUCCUCCUUUGCUUAGUGUUUUUACCCAUGCCAAUUGAAUGUUGGCACCUUUUAAAAUGUUCCAUUUAUGGGUCUUUCCAUUGUUUAGAAGGUCUCAAGUUGAAGAUGACCAGAAUCCAAGCAGUACCAGAAAUUAUUUUUUUUUAAAUCAUUGUAAAUGUAGCUUUGUCCAUUCAUUGCUAGUUAUGUGCUGUUCUUUGCAAUAUCUUAAAUUGAAAACGUUGAAUAUCCUCACAAAUUUAAGCUGUAGAAUUGUUGAAAAAAACCGAAUCACAGGAACUGAAUCAAGCAUUGUAGCGUUGAGAUUGUAUGUAGUUAAAAGACAUCUGAAGAAUACGAUUAUUUUGUUGGAGA